Molecule: microRNA precursor, 57 nt
Filed under: Canis lupus familiaris (dog)
Lineage: Eukaryota; Metazoa; Chordata; Mammalia; Carnivora; Canidae
Description: Cfa-Novel-5_pre stem-loop
Source: RNAcentral
UAGUGAGGACUUAAGGAAACUCACAUUCUUUGGAGAGUUUUUCCUUGAUUCUCACAG